Molecule: ribosomal RNA, 440 nt
Filed under: uncultured bacterium
Lineage: Bacteria
Description: partial 16S ribosomal RNA
Rfam family: Bacterial small subunit ribosomal RNA
Source: RNAcentral
CCUACGGGGGGCUGCAGUGAGGGAUAUUGGUCAAUGGGGGAAACCCUGAACCAGCAACGCCGCGUGAGGGAAGACGGUUUUCGGAUUGUAAACCUCUGUCCUCUGUGAAGAUGAUGACGGUAGCAGAGGAGGAAGCUCCGGCUAACUACGUGCCAGCAGCCGCGGUAAUACGUAGGGAGCAAGCGUUGUCCGGAUUUACUGGGUGUAAAGGGGGCGUAGACGGCAGCGCAAGUCUGGAGUGAAAUGCCGGGGCCCAACCCCGGAACUGCUCUGGAAACUGUGAAGCUGGAGUGCAGGAGAGGUAAGCGGAAUUCCUGGUGUAGCGGUGAAAUGCGUAGAUAUCAGGAGGAACACCGGCGGCGAAGGCGGCUUACUGGACUGUAACUGACGUUGAGGCUCGAAGGCGUGGGGAGCAAACAGGAUUAGAUACCCUAGUAGUC